GGGGCGCUAGCUCAACUGGGAGAGCACUGUCAUGGCAUGACAGAGGUUAGGGGUUCAGUCCCAUGAAGUUUUAACGAAGAGGGAUUGGAUGCAAAGCAUCUGCGCUCCCUUGUGUCCCACCA
This 122-nucleotide transfer RNA is filed under the name bacterium. RNAcentral describes it as "tRNA-Ala". The record is from RNAcentral.